RNAcentral lists this ribosomal RNA (199 nucleotides) under uncultured bacterium. Its description in RNAcentral is "partial 16S ribosomal RNA". It matches the Rfam family "Bacterial small subunit ribosomal RNA", at positions 328 to 539 of the family's 1533-position model. The record is from RNAcentral.
ACGCUCGACACCUACGGGAGGCAGCAGUCGGGAAUAUUGCGCAAUGGAGGAAACUCUGACGCAGUGACGCCGCGUAUGGGAAGAAGGUUUUCGGAUUGUAAACCAUUUUAGACAGGGAAGAAAAAAGACAGUACCUGUAGAAUAAGCUCCGGCUAACUACGUGCCAACAGCCGCGGUAAUCUGAGCGGGCUGGCAAGGC